This is a long non-coding RNA of Oncorhynchus tshawytscha (Chinook salmon), 250 nucleotides long. The record is from Ensembl. NCBI's taxonomy places the organism in Eukaryota, Metazoa, Chordata, Actinopteri, Salmoniformes, Salmonidae.
GUCUAUUUUCAAACAAUAAAGCCAGUCUUUUUGGGGGUUGUCUAUUUUCUAACAAUGAGUCUUUUUUGGGGGUUGUCUAUUUUCUAACAAUGUAGCCAAUUUUCAAACAAUGUAGCCAGUCUUUUUGGGGGAGGUUGUCUAUUUUCUAACAAUGAGUCUUUUUGGGGGGUUGUCUAUUUUCUAACAAUGAGGCCAUCUUUUUGGGGGGGUUGUCUAUUUUCAAACAAUGUAGCCAGUCUUUUUGGGGGGU